Long non-coding RNA from Apis cerana (Asiatic honeybee), 3601 nucleotides. RefSeq lists it as uncharacterized. The record is from RefSeq and is a predicted model, not a curated record. NCBI's taxonomy places the organism in Eukaryota, Metazoa, Arthropoda, Insecta, Hymenoptera, Apidae.
UUUACAUUUAUUAAUAUUUUUACAUCUACCUGCACUGAUACCAAAAAUAAACGCAGUUAAACAUGAAACGGCUUGAAUACGAUGCACAUAAUUCACGUAACCCAAAUUCUAAAUAUCGCGCGUGAACAUGCUUGCAAUUUAUGUCUAUUCUUAAAUUCAACAUUGAAUUUUUAUCCGUAUCGAACUUCCGUAAGCUAAAAAGAAGAUACCAAAGUGCACAAAUUCUUCUCCUAUUUUUUCUCCUAUUUUACCAUAUUUUAAACGAUAUAAUAUAUGAAAUUCAUCGUCAGUGAAUAAUUAUCAAAUCAAUUAAUGAAGCUUUUUACGCAAUUUUGCUUCACCUUGAAAUACAUCAACCUAAGGCCAAAAUGUGAGAUAAAAUAUUGAGAUUGAGGAAUCCAAUUGGCAAGUUUUACUUAUGAUACACGUGACGAUCGCACAAUAAAAUUAUCAUAAAAAAUAUUGACGAGAAUUGAUGUAAUUUAUUGCUGACAUAUCGUAAAUUAUCGCGCCACUCUAUCGAUAUAUAUCAAUCUUGAUGUAUGUAGAAACGAGUUUUGGAAAACAGAUCAACAGGUAGCCUAUGUAGUCGGUUGUAAAUAGUAACGAUUGUAUGUAUAUACAACAAAGUUGAAUGCUUUUGACGAAAGAGAUCUUCGAUAGAAAACGAUCGUUCUGCUUGUCUUCUGUGGAAUCUAUCGUUCGAUAGCUCGAUGUCGCGAGCUAAUCGACCGCGGGAACUUUCGCGAUUGUACGUGACGUGAGCAGUUCAGGUAAAAGAAUCCCAAGGAAAAAGAUAUUACGGUACGAUCAUUUUCAUUUUCUGAGCGCGCAGUGUCGAAAAUAAGUCUGGAGUAUCAUACGUAACGAAAAACAUCAUGGUCGACGUUCUAUUUACGGACAGUAUCAAGGGAGCGGACGGAAAUACUGAAAAUUCAUUCAAAGAAACUAUUCCAACCGGUUUAACAUUAAGCGUAGAUUAUUAUCGCGUAAUUAUCGUUCGACCUUUGCGAACGACGAAAUAGUCGACUGAAAAUAGCGAAUCGUGGGUGUCGAAUUGCAUUUUAACGAAGUAUAAUCAUCGAAUCGGUAAUAAACAGAGGAUAGAAAAGUGUUUCGCGCGUGCGGAACUUAUCAUCGCAUAACAAUCGGCUUACUGGUGCAUAGUAUAGUAUGGGUCACCCGAUUCCAAUCUAAGAUUUGGCGCACAGCCGAAACUUCUCAAAGGUUAACGAUCUUCUCAUUCGCAUCAAGGAAGAAAUCGAUCGAUCGCCCCGUGUCACUCGCAACUUUUUCGAUUUUCUUUUAAUAAUAUUUCUCUUCUCCUCUAACCGUAUGAAAUAAUUAUAUGAAACUCUUCUUGGAACUAUAUUACUAAUAAAUAAAAAGAAAUAGAUCUAGAUAUUUGUAUUUAUAACCGAAAUAGAUGAGGAAACUUGAAAAGUUUAAUACAAUAGUUUAAUAAAUAUAUAUAACAAUGUAUUGGGAAAGGUUAAACACCGGUUAAGUUUGAAAAUGGCAAUUAAUCAAAGAGGAUAUGGACCUCGGCUAUGAUAGAUGUCUUCGGCUGGUUGCAAUAUCUAUAUAUAUCGUCUAUUUAUACGAUAAAGUCAGACGCUGUGCGAACGGAAACAACGAUGAAAGUAUUGCAUACAUCGAUGCCGCAUAUCCCUGACAAACCAUAGCGGAGUCCCACCGUAUCGCAUUGCGAUACUAGUGACCAGUUGACAGUAAUAAGUAACCAGUUAGAUAAGCGAUUCCAUAACCUUCGACGAUUCCACGCAACACAUUUCUACGUAGAUGCGUUUCGCUAUAACGAUCGUUAAUUUCUUCAAUCGUAUAGGAUACAAUUUAUGAUGAAAUCCUGAAUAUUGAUCAAAGCCUGCGAUAUUAAAAUCAAAUUGUUUUUAAAUUAUCCAGCGAUGAAAAAUUUUCAGUAACGAAAAACGAUAAUUGAUAUACGAGAGAAUAACUAAAGUUAAUUCCUUUAAGCUAAGAAUAGAGGAUAAAAUCAAAUAGAAAUUACGAAAUAAGGGGAAGUAUUCGAAUAUAUAAUAUAUUCGAAAUUUUAUAAAAAAUUAUACAUUUAACAAUUAAUCAAUAAUCAAUAAUCCAUAUAUAUUCAUUUAUCUAUUCGUUAUAUGAAAGAUACAUGGAAUAUUCUAAGAAUUAUAUCUACUAUUUAUAAAUGAAAAUAUUGAUAAAACUCUUAUUGAAUAUACAAACCACGACAUAAAUUUAUAUAAAGAAAAUAAAAAUAUUCAGAUUGAAAAUUUCUAUUUUUACAAUAUUAAAUAAUCAGUAGAUAUGUAAAAAUUUUAAAUUCGAAUAGCAUUAUUAAUAACAUUAAAAUAUUAUUAUUUAUUCCGGAUUCAUGAUAAAUCAUCAAUAGAAAUACUUAUUAUCGAUGUACUGACAUAAACACGUGAAAUACAAGAUAAGAUUGAUAUUCAGUUUAAUUUGCAGAACCAAUUGUCAAAUAUCCUUCUGUAAUAAUUGUAUACAAUCAGUAUUUUAAACAAUGAUAUCGGAUGAAAUUCUUUAAAACUCAAGAAAUAUCAACGAAAUUACCAUGCCUCCAAGUGAUUCAGUGCUCGAUUAUUUUUAUCAUAAAGUCUGAAAAUACAAUCCAAAGGGCUGCGGUUUAGCAUCAUAUGUAAUCGAGUCAGACCUGAGAGCCUUGAGCCUCUGCCAAAAAUGAAGAAAACAUUUUCAACGCGUACUUGAAGCUGUUCCAUUUUAUCAAUUCACACCGUAUUAAUCUAUCUUCCUUCUACCUUGUUCGAAUAAUUCUUAUAGCGUGAUUAUCUCUUCAUAUAUCGUAAAUCGAAAUUUUCAUUUGUGAAUUGUGUAAAGAAAUCCAUUGUCAAUCAAAAAUAUUUUGCAUUCCAAUAUUUUUACGAGACAUUUCAAAAUAUUAUAUAUAAAUGUAAAUAAUAAAAUUAACAAAGAAGCAAAAAAUAUAUAAUUUCAGAUAUAUAAUUAGAAUGUAAUUUCUAAAUGCUGAAAAAAAUCAUAAAGCAAUUACAUUUUUCUAUGAAUUUUCUAUCAAUUCUAUAAAUGAAACUAAAACUCAAAACUGAUUAAAUUUUUAUCAAAAGAUGCAAUUGAUUUAACUGUUAGAUAAUAUUAAGAAACUUUGAAAAAAACACAUAUUAUUAAUAACUCAUAUAAAAUAAAAAUGAUUACAAUACAAAAUAUACUUUUUUCACUUUUUUCAAACAUACUUUUUCAUUUUUUAAGAAAAGAUUGUAGACAAUGGAUCAACUUUUUAUAUAUUCACACUGUUGUAUUUGAAAAAUUGUAUUGUGUUCCGUGAGGUUAUGUACAGUAGUUCAAAAAUUUAACAGUCAAAUGUUCCAUAAAUGAUGAAUGUUCAAAAUAUAAAAAUUACACCUUUUUAAUUAUGUUUAUCAAAAGUUCUUGUCAUACACAAUACCUAAAAGUAUAAUAAUAAUAAAAUACAUCCGAUUUAUUUAUCCAAUAAAACAUACAUAUUAUUUUUGAACAGUAUAAUAAUAGAAUUAAAAUUUUUUAUCAAGAUAAAAGAAAAUAUGUAAAAUAUUAUUAAAUGGAAAAAGAAUAAACUUAAUUUACCUUU